AGAGUUUGAUCCUGGCUCAGAUUGAACGCUGGCGGCAUGCCUUACACAUGCAAGUCGAACGGCAGCACGGGAGCAAUCCUGGUGGCGAGUGGCGAACGGGUGAGUAAUAUAUCGGAACGUACCUUUCAGUGGGGGAUAACGUAGCGAAAGUUACGCUAAUACCGCAUAUUCUGUGAGCAGGAAAGCAGGGGAUCGCAAGACCUUGCGCUGAUUGAGCGGCCGAUAUCAGAUUAGCUAGUUGGUGAGGUAAAGGCUCACCAAGGCGACGAUCUGUAGCGGGUCUGAGAGGAUGAUCCGCCACACUGGAACUGAGACACGGUCCAGACUCCUACGGGAGGCAGCAGUGGGGAAUUUUGGACAAUGGGGGCAACCCUGAUCCAGCCAUGCCGCGUGAGUGAAGAAGGCCUUCGGGUUGUAAAGCUCUUUCGGCCGGGAAGAAAUCGUGUGGGCUAAUACCUCACAUGGAUGACGGUACCGGAAUAAUAAGCACCGGCUAACUACGUGCCAGCAGCCGCGGUAAUACGUAGGGUGCGAGCGUUAAUCGGAAUUACUGGGCGUAAAGCGUGCGCAGGCGGUUUUGUAAGACAGGCGUGAAAUCCCCGGGCUCAACCUGGGAACUGCGUUUGUGACUGCAAGGCUAGAGUAUGGCAGAGGGGGGUGGAAUUCCACGUGUAGCAGUGAAAUGCGUAGAGAUGUGGAGGAACACCGAUGGCGAAGGCAGCCCCCUGGGCCAAUACUGACGCUCAUGCACGAAAGCGUGGGUAGCAAACAGGAUUAGAUACCCUGGUAGUCCACGCCCUAAACGAUGUCAACUAGGUGUUGGGUGGGUAAAACCAUUUAGUACCGGAGCUAACGCGUGAAGUUGACCGCCUGGGGAGUACGGCCGCAAGGUUAAAACUCAAAUGAAUUGACGG
Molecule: ribosomal RNA, 914 nt
Filed under: uncultured bacterium
Lineage: Bacteria
Description: bacterial SSU rRNA
Rfam family: Bacterial small subunit ribosomal RNA
Source: RNAcentral